CAGCUUUGAUGCUACCACUUGCAUUUGGAAGU
Molecule: non-coding RNA, 32 nt
Filed under: Homo sapiens (human)
Lineage: Eukaryota; Metazoa; Chordata; Mammalia; Primates; Hominidae
Source: RNAcentral